Molecule: ribosomal RNA, 1951 nt
Filed under: human gut metagenome
Description: bacterial LSU rRNA
Rfam family: Bacterial large subunit ribosomal RNA
Source: RNAcentral
GAAAGUAAGCAAGGGCGCAUGGCGGAUGCCUUGGCUCUCGGAGGCGAUGAAGGACGUGAUAAGCUGCGAUAAGCUUCGGGUAGGUGCAAAUAACCUUUGAUCCCAAGAUUUCCGAAUGGGGCAACCCGGCUGGUAGAAGGCCAGUCAUUCCGUAAGGAAGGCGAACGUGGGGAACUGAAACAUCUAAGUACCCAUAGGAGAAGAAAACAAAAGUGAUUCCGCAAGUAGUGGCGAGCGAACGCGGAACAGCCCAAACCGAUGAUGUUUAGGCAUUGUCGGGGUAGUAGGACCACGUUGUGGCAAGAGAUUAAGGAAGUAGAACGUUUUGGAACAAACGGCCGUAGACGGUGAAAGCCCAGUAUACGACUCUUUAACGAAGCCUAGUGGAAUCCUGAGUAGCGCGGAGCACGAGAAAUUCUGUGUGAAUCAGCGGGGCCCAUCCCGUAAGGCUAAAUACUCCCGAGAGACCGAUAGCGAACCAGUACUGUGAAGGAAAGGUGAAAAGCACCUCGAACAGAGGAGUGAAAUAGUCCCUGAAACCGUCUGCCUACAAGCGGUCGGAGCAACGUAAGUUGUGACGGCGUGCCUUUUGCAUAAUGAACCUACGAGUUACUUUCUCCGGCAAGGUUAAGGGCUUCAGGCCCGGAGCCGAAGCGAAAGCGAGUCUUAAUAGGGCGUGAUAGUCGGAGUGAGUAGACGCGAAACCAAGUGAUCUACCCUUGGUCAGGAUGAAGGUUGGGUAACACCAACUGGAGGUCCGAAUGGGUAUACGUUGAAAAGUGUUCCAAUGAACUGAGGGUAGGGGUGAAAGGCUAAUCAAACUUGGAGAUAGCUCGUACUCCCCGAAAUGCAUUUAGGUGCAGCCUUUAUUUAGUAUAGCAUGAGGUAGAGCGACUGAUUGGAUGCGAGGGCUUCACCGCCUAUCAAGUCCAGAUAAACUCCGAAUGCGUGCUAUAUAUUGAUAAGGAGUGAGGGCGCGGGUGCUAAGGUCCGCGUCCGAGAGGAGAAGAAUCCAGACCAUCAGCUAAGGUCCCCAAAUAACAGUUAAGUUGAACUAACGAAGUCGGACUGCAGAGACAGCUAGGAUGUUGGCUUGGAAGCAGCCAUUCAUUUAAAGAGUGCGUAACAGCUCACUAGUCGAGGAGUCCGGCGUGGAUAAUACUCGGGCAUAAACUGUUUACCGAAGCUAUGGAUGUAGAAAUACAUGGUAGGGGAGCAUUCCAACGGCGUCGAAGGUGAAGGAUGACCUUUGCUGGAGCUUUUGGAAACGCAAAUGUAGGUAUAAGUAACGAUAAAGGAGGUGAGAAACCUCCUCGCCGAAAGACUAAGGUUUCCUGAUCAACGUUAAUCGGAUCAGGGUAAGUCGGGACCUAAGGUUAAGCCGAACGGCGAUACCGAUGGAAGAAUGGUUUAAUAUUCCCAUACUACUUUAUGGAGCGAUGUGGAGACGGAGAAGUGAAAGUCCUGCCAUCUGACGGAAUAGGUGGUUGAAGAGUGUAGAUGUAGAUUCCUGUAGGCAAAUCCGCAGGGAGAGUCGACCUUGAUAGUAUGCCGCGUGCUUGCACAAGGCAAAAUGGACGUAAUCAGGCUCCCAAGAAAAUCCGCUAAGCAUAUUCAUAAAGUACCCGUACCGUAAACGGACACACGUAGUUGGGUUGAAAAUACUGAGGCGCUCGAGUGAUUCACGGUUAAGGAACUAGGCAAAUUGACCCUGUAACUUCGGGAUAAAGGGUCCCUACUGAGAGGUAGGGCGCAGAGAAUAGGUCCAGGCAACUGUUUAACAAAAACACAUGGCUGUGCGAAAUAGAAAUAUGAAGUAUACAGCCUGACACCUGCCCGGUGCUGGAAGGUUAAGAGGAGAGCUCAUCGCAAGAGAAGGCUUGAAUUGAAGCCCCAGUAAACGGCGGCCGUAACUAUAACGGUCCUAAGGUAGCGAAAUUCCUUGUCGGGU